This 193-nucleotide non-coding RNA is filed under the name Pirellulales bacterium. RNAcentral describes it as "6S RNA". It matches the Rfam family "6S / SsrS RNA". Rfam says of the family: E. coli 6S RNA was the first non coding RNA to be sequenced, but its function was unknown until recently. It consists of 184 nucleotides that fold into an extended hairpin structure with a large single-stranded internal bulge. The 6S RNA specifically associates with RNA polymerase holoenzyme containing the sigma70 specificity factor. The record is from RNAcentral. Lineage: Bacteria; Pseudomonadati; Planctomycetota; Planctomycetia; Pirellulales.
GAUCCUCUGCCAUGUUCGUGAUGUCGGCGUAUUAUUCUGGUGAGCCGAUACGAGUUCCGCAGGGCGACCCGUUGCCCCUGGUGUGCGUGUAUAGCCGACCGAGAUCGGAUCACACAAACCCAAGGCCGGCUUGCCCACUUGAAAUCGCGGGCUCUCUUGAAUCGCGCCGCCACGGCAUUGCGGUGGAGGAUUU